This 973-nucleotide long non-coding RNA is filed under the name Parus major (Great Tit). Its description in RNAcentral is "lncRNA (ENSPMJG00000006269.1)". The record is from RNAcentral. Lineage: Eukaryota; Metazoa; Chordata; Aves; Passeriformes; Paridae.
GAGAUAUUUGUCCUUGGGGGUUGGAUUUUUUUAAUUAUUUAUUUGCUUUUAUUUCUUAAUCACCGCAGCUAACAAAAACAUGACUUGAGACUGCUCCAUAACCAUCAAAUCUGAACAGGGGCCCCUCAGCGCCAGUACAACCAAGCACAACAAAUCCUGGCAAGCUGUAGCAAGCGACAGCAAGAGGGAGGGGAGGCGGUGGGACACGGGCAGCGGUCCGCAAAGGCUCCCGGCUGUUGCCCGGGGCUCCGGGGCCGGAAGAAUGUACCAAUACUGGGAAGCAGCAGAUAGAAGAGGCGAAGGAGAGCUGGCGGCCAGCGACUACCCCAGGACGGAAGAGGCACGGGAGCGUCCCGGGAGCCCCUAAGCUGCCUGCCCGCCUACUGCACCCCUUUCACGCCAUGCCGCCAUCCCCAACGUUCCGACCCCGGACCUCCCGGGUCCGGUGAGGAAAUGCCUAGGCAACCGGAGCUCCGCACCAGCUGCGCAGGGGAGCGCGGUGCUGACAUGUCGACCGCCACGUAAAAGCCUCCGGCGACUCCUUCUCUGCCCCCUCCCCCCUCAGUCCUCUCCCUCCUCCCACGGCACGAUCGACGUGUCAGCCUUGAAAGUUCAUUUCCAGGCCCUGGAAGAGUCCAAUACAACGCGUGCGUUGGACAGUGAGACGUGGCACCGCAGGGUUGCAAGUGGGGCGCGUAGGCAUACCCCAGCCUGAAACUGUUACUUGCAAAAUGAAGAGGAAGAUAGAAGUGAGAAUGAAGAAUGCUUUGGAGAAAUCUAGUCAUAAUGUUUGAGGAGUAGAAAUAAUAGAAAAUACUAAUAACUCUGGUCUCUUACAUAGGUCAGAAUUUAGACUGAAAUGAUGUAAAGUCACAAACCUGAGACAUAAGGGCUAUUAAAUUUGAAUCAAGAUUCACAGAUUUUUGAACAAAUACAUAAUAAAAAUGUUUGCUUUGUCUCCUCUGCUUUUUAU